This 426-nucleotide ribosomal RNA is filed under the name uncultured bacterium. RNAcentral describes it as "partial 16S ribosomal RNA". It matches the Rfam family "Bacterial small subunit ribosomal RNA", at positions 354 to 796 of the family's 1533-position model. The record is from RNAcentral.
GUGAGGAAUUUUCCGCAAUGGGUGAAAGCCUGACGGAGCAAUGCCGCGUGAAGGAUGAAGGCCUAUGGGUUGUAAACUUCUUUUCUCAGAAAAGAAUUAUGACGGUAUCUGAGGAAUAAGCAUCGGCUAACUCUGUGCCAGCAGCCGCGGUAAGACAGAGGAUGCAAGCGUUAUCCGGAAUGAUUGGGCGUAAAGCGUCUGUAGGUUGUUUAAAAAGUAUUCUGUCAAAGAUUAGGGCUUAACCCUAGAUAGGCAGAAUAAACCUUUAAGCUAGAGUUUGGUAGAGGCAGAGGGAAUUCCCGGUGGAGCGGUGAAAUGCGUAGAUAUCGGGAGGAACACCAAAGGCGAAGGCACUCUGCUGGGCCAAUACUAACACUGAGAGACGAAAGCGAGGGGAGCAAAUGGGAUUAGAUACCCGAGUAGUCC